Molecule: ribosomal RNA, 496 nt
Filed under: uncultured bacterium
Lineage: Bacteria
Description: partial 16S ribosomal RNA
Rfam family: Bacterial small subunit ribosomal RNA
Source: RNAcentral
GAUGAACGCUGGCGGCGUGCCUAAUACAUGCAAGUCGAGCGAACAGACGAGGAGCUUGCUCCUCGGACGUUAGCGGCGGACGGGUGAGUAACACGUGGAUAACCUACCUAUAAGACUGGGAUACUUCGGGAAACCGGAGCUAAUACCGGAUAAUAUAUUGAACCGCAUGGUUCAAUAGUGAAAGACGGUUUUGCUGUCACGUAUAGAUGGAUCCGCGCCGCAUUAGCUAGUUGGUAAGGUAACGGCUUACCAAGGCAACGAUGCGUAGCCGACCUGAGAGGGUGAUCGGCCACACUGGAACUGCGACACGGUCCAGCCUCCUACGGGAGGCAGCAGUAGGGAAUCUUCCGCAAUGGGCGAAAGCCUGACGGAGCAACGCCGCGUGAGUGAUGAAGGUCCUCUGAUCGUAAAACUCUGUUAUUAGGGAAGAACAAAUGUGUAAGUAACUAUGCACGUCUUGACGGUACCUAAUCAGAAAGCCACGGCUAACUACGUG